ACUCAAAGGAAUUGACGGGGGCUCACACAAGCGGAGGAGCAUGUUGUUCAAUUCGAAGCAACGCGAAGAACCUUACCUGGGUUUGACAUGCAUGAAGUAGGAUCCUGAAAGGGUGACGACCGGUAUCCAAUCCGGAACAUGCACAGGUGCUGCAUGGCUGUCGUCAGCUCGUGUCGUGAGACGUUAGGUUAAGUCCUGUAACGAGCGAAACCCCUGUCGUCUGUUGCCACCGGGUCAUGCCGGGCACUCUGACGAGACUGCCGAUGUUAAAUCGGAGGAAGGUGGGGACGACGUCAAGUCAUCAUGGUCCUUACGCCCAGGGCUACAAACGUGCUACAAUGGCCGGUACAGAGAGACGCAAUGCCGCGAGGCGGAGCAAAUCUUCAAAACCGGCCCCAGUUCGGAUUGGAGGCUGAAAUUCGCCUCCAUGAAGUUGGAUUCGCUAGUAAUCGCGGAUCAGCCACGCCGCGGUGAAUACGUUCCUGAGCCUUGUACACACCGCCCGU
Molecule: ribosomal RNA, 506 nt
Filed under: uncultured bacterium
Lineage: Bacteria
Description: bacterial SSU rRNA
Rfam family: Bacterial small subunit ribosomal RNA
Source: RNAcentral